GACGAACGCUGGCGGCGUGCUUAACACAUGCAAGUCGAGCGGUAAGGCCCUUUCGGGGGUACACGAGCGGCGAACGGGUGAGUAACACGUGGGUGACCUGCCCUCAGCUCUGGGAUAAGCCUGGGAAACCGGGUCUAAUACUGGAUAUGACUCCAUGACGCAUGUUGUGGGGUGGAAAGCCUUGUGCGGCUGAGGAUGGGCCCGCGGCCUAUCAGCUUGUUGGUGGGGUGACGGCCUACCAAGGCGACGACGGGUGGCCGGCCUGAGAGGGCGACCGGCC
This 280-nucleotide ribosomal RNA is filed under the name uncultured bacterium. Its description in RNAcentral is "partial 16S ribosomal RNA". It matches the Rfam family "Bacterial small subunit ribosomal RNA", at positions 28 to 309 of the family's 1533-position model. The record is from RNAcentral.